RNAcentral lists this ribosomal RNA (389 nucleotides) under uncultured bacterium. Its description in RNAcentral is "bacterial SSU rRNA". It matches the Rfam family "Bacterial small subunit ribosomal RNA", at positions 30 to 417 of the family's 1533-position model. The record is from RNAcentral.
AUUGAACGCUGGCGGCAUGCUUUACACAUGCAAGUCGAACGGGGUGAGGGGGCAACCUCUCAUUCAGUGGCGAACGGGUGAGUAAUGCAUCGGAACGUACCCUGUAGUGGGGGAUAACGCCGGGAAACCGGCGCUAAUACCGCAUAUUUCUCUACGGAGGAAAGCGGGGGAUUCGCAAGAACCUCGCGCUAUGGGAGCGGCCGAUGUCCGAUUAGCUUGUUGGUGGGGUAAUGGCCCACCAAGGCUACGAUCGGUAGCUGGUCUGAGAGGAUGAUCAGCCACACUGGGACUGAGACACGGCCCAGACUCCUACGGGAGGCAGCAGUGGGGAAUUUUGGUACAAUGGGGGCAACCCUGAUCCAGCCAUGCCGCGUGCGGGAAGAAGGCCU